Molecule: ribosomal RNA, 440 nt
Filed under: uncultured bacterium
Lineage: Bacteria
Description: partial 16S ribosomal RNA
Rfam family: Bacterial small subunit ribosomal RNA
Source: RNAcentral
CCUACGGGUGGCAGCAGUAGGGAAUAUUGCUCAAUGGGGGAAACCCUGAAGCAGCCACGCCGCGUGGAGGAUGAAGGUUUUCGGAUUGUAAACUCCUUUUGUUAGAGAAGAUAAUGACGGUAUCUAACGAAUAAGCACCGGCUAACUCCGUGCCAGCAGCCGCGGUAAUACGGAGGGUGCAAGCGUUACUCGGAAUCACUGGGCGUAAAGGGCGCGUAGGCGGGAUAGCAAGUCAGAUGUGAAAUCCUAUGGCUUAACCAUAGAACUGCAUUUGAAACUGUUAUUCUAGAGUAUGGGAGAGGUAGGUGGAAUUCGUGGUGUAGGGGUAAAAUCCGUAGAGAUCAAGAGGAAUACUCAUUGCGAAGGCGACCUGCUAGAACAUAACUGACGCUGAUGCGCGAAAGCGUGGGGAGCAAACAGGAUUAGAUACCCGAGUAGUC